Molecule: ribosomal RNA, 765 nt
Filed under: uncultured bacterium
Lineage: Bacteria
Description: bacterial SSU rRNA
Rfam family: Bacterial small subunit ribosomal RNA
Source: RNAcentral
GGAUUUACUGGGCGUAAAGCGUGCGUAGGUGGCCAAUUAAGUCAAAUGUGAAAUCCCCGAGCUUAACUCGGGAAUUGCAUUCGAUACUGGUUGGCUAGAGUAUGGGAGAGGAUGGUAGAAUUCCAGGUGUAGCGGUGAAAUGCGUAGAGAUCUGGAGGAAUACCGAUGGCGAAGGCAGCCAUCUGGCCUAAUACUGACACUGAGGUACGAAAGCAUGGGGAGCAAACAGGAUUAGAUACCCUGGUAGUCCAUGCCGUAAACGAUGUCUACUAGCCGUUGGGGUCUUUGAGACUUUAGUGGCGCAGCUAACGCGAUAAGUAGACCGCCUGGGGAGUACGGUCGCAAGACUAAAACUCAAAUGAAUUGACGGGGGCCCGCACAAGCGGUGGAGCAUGUGGUUUAAUUCGAUGCAACGCGAAGAACCUUACCUGGUCUUGACAUAGUAAGAACUUUCCAGAGAUGGAUUGGUGCCUUCGGGAGCUUACAUACAGGUGCUGCAUGGCUGUCGUCAGCUCGUGUCGUGAGAUGUUGGGUUAAGUCCCGCAACGAGCGCAACCCUUUUCCUUAUUUGCCAGCGGGUUAAGCCGGGAACUUUAAGGAUACUGCCAGUGACAAACUGGAGGAAGGCGGGGACGACGUCAAGUCAUCAUGGCCCUUACGACCAGGGCUACACACGUGCUACAAUGGUCGGUACAAAGGGUUGCUACCUAGCGAUAGGAUGCUAAUCUCAAAAAGCCGAUCGUAGUCCGGAUUGGAGUCUGCAAC